RNAcentral lists this long non-coding RNA (521 nucleotides) under Cyanistes caeruleus (blue tit). RNAcentral's name for it is "lncRNA (ENSCCEG00000002966.1)". Lineage: Eukaryota; Metazoa; Chordata; Aves; Passeriformes; Paridae. The record is from RNAcentral.
CCAUAGCAUGCAUACUCAGCAAUAUAAAGAGAGAGACGUGUUAGGAGGUUACCUAUCUUUUUCCUCAGGCCUGGCUGAAUAUUUGUCUACCCUUGUGACAUGGCUAGCUGUGUGCUUCGCAAACAAUUAUGCACAUACUGCGGGACUGGAAGCAAGAAUAUUUGUAUGCAUGCUGCUGUCUUGUUGGCAAGGCUGGACUCCUAAAAUGUGUUUCUACCCAGUACAUGAUGAAUUAUUCUGCAGACUAAUUCUGUGGUUUAUAGGUUGCUGUAGGCCACUCAUGAAGUCAUGAGCAUGGUCAUUCAAAUACAGAACACUUAUAAAUUCUGGCUUUAAAGUAUACAUAUAAACUUCUUUCUAUGCAACUGUAGCUUGAGUCACCCAUCCUGAAUAAUAAUGUCUUUGCCAGGUGUUGUGGGAUAAGUUGGGAUUUUUUUUUUUAUGAAAGCAGUGGAACAUUAUUGUACCUGACUGUUCUUAUGGCCACCAGUGUUCUUGAAAUAUUAACAAAAGAGAUGAUG